Callithrix jacchus (white-tufted-ear marmoset) is the source of this 127-nucleotide small nucleolar RNA. The record is from Ensembl. NCBI's taxonomy places the organism in Eukaryota, Metazoa, Chordata, Mammalia, Primates, Cebidae.
UCAGCUCUGCAUAAUUAAGUUACACUUGGCUUCACCCAUGUGACUUCUGCAACAGGGAGAAAAGAUGUCCUUGGCACCUCAGAUUGACCUUAUGGUGAUCUCUCUCUUCUUGAGGGGCACAACAGAU